GGGCCUGUAGCUUAGCCUGGAUAAAGCGUCCGCCUUCUAAGCGGAAGACCGUGGGUUCGAAUCCCUCCAGGCCCG
RNAcentral lists this transfer RNA (75 nucleotides) under Candidatus Woesearchaeota archaeon. RNAcentral describes it as "tRNA-Arg". It matches the Rfam family "tRNA". From Rfam's summary of the family: Transfer RNA (tRNA) molecules are approximately 80 nucleotides in length. Their secondary structure includes four short double-helical elements and three loops (D, anti-codon, and T loops). Further hydrogen bonds mediate the characteristic L-shaped molecular structure. tRNAs have two regions of fundamental functional importance: the anti-codon, which is responsible for specific mRNA codon recognition, and the 3' end, to which the tRNAs corresponding amino acid is attached (by aminoacyl-tRNA synthetases). tRNAs cope with the degeneracy of the genetic code in two manners: having more than one tRNA (with a specific anti-codon) for a particular amino acid; and 'wobble' base-pairing, i.e. permitting non-standard base-pairing at the 3rd anti-codon position. The record is from RNAcentral. Lineage: Archaea; Nanobdellati; Candidatus Woesearchaeota.